ACUCCUACGGGAGGCAGCAGUCGAGAAUCUUCACAAUGGGGGCAACCCUGAUGGAGCGACGCCGCGUGGAGGAUAAGGUCUUCGGAUUGUAAACUCCUGUCAUGUGAGAACAAGGUUGCAGGGUUAAUACCUUUGCAAAUUGAUGGUAUCACAAGAGGAAGAGACGGCUAACUCUGUGCCAGCAGCCGCGGUAAUACAGAGGUCUCAAGCGUUGUUCGGAAUCACUGGGCGUAAAGGGUGCGUAGGUGGCGUGGUAAGUCAGAUGUGAAAGCCC
This 274-nucleotide ribosomal RNA is filed under the name uncultured bacterium. RNAcentral's name for it is "partial 16S ribosomal RNA". It matches the Rfam family "Bacterial small subunit ribosomal RNA", at positions 335 to 603 of the family's 1533-position model. The record is from RNAcentral.